UUGAAGAGACGUCGCAUGAAGCGUGUGGAAUAUCAAUGACGACUGUUUUUAGCUAAAAGACCUGAAGAGUCAGCAUGAAUUCUGUUCCCAGCACAGUGAUGUCACAGACACACAGCUCAGGCAGAGUUGGUGACACUUUGAGGAGCAGCUGAAGAUCUGGGUGAGCUGAAGAGAGUGAUGCUGGGCUGACCCGAGUUAAAAGGGAUCCAGUGCAAAACAGUGGAAAGAGGGCAGGCAGGUGCCAUAGUGAAAUCCUUCCCAGGAGUCAGAGCGUGAAACAGCUGCUGUGACCAGAGAGCUGUAGCACAAGAAAAACAAGUGAGUUCUGCAGCUCAGUGACAGCAUGGCAGCAGCAUUUGGACCACAAGACACUUUUUCCAGAUGUCGCAGGAAGAGCUUCGAUCUUCUGCCACCCCACAGUGAGUUUUUAAAGAAAAGAUUAUGUUUAAUGCAAACUUUAACUGGGCAAUUUAAGGUGGAAGACAUUAGACAGGAGCAGGUGAAGACAAAAUAUAGCAGGAAGUGUGAAGCCUGUUUGGAAUCAUGAAAACCUCUUAGUGCACAGAGUCUGCUUUCUCCCUUUACAUUUAAA
Long non-coding RNA from Oreochromis niloticus (Nile tilapia), 592 nucleotides. RefSeq lists it as uncharacterized. The transcript has 4 exons. The record is from RefSeq and is a predicted model, not a curated record. Lineage: Eukaryota; Metazoa; Chordata; Actinopteri; Cichliformes; Cichlidae.